RNAcentral lists this ribosomal RNA (163 nucleotides) under Polygala calcarea. Its description in RNAcentral is "5.8S ribosomal RNA". It matches the Rfam family "5.8S ribosomal RNA". Rfam says of the family: 5.8S ribosomal RNA (5.8S rRNA) is a component of the large subunit of the eukaryotic ribosome. It is transcribed by RNA polymerase I as part of the 45S precursor that also contains 18S and 28S rRNA. Lineage: Eukaryota; Viridiplantae; Streptophyta; Magnoliopsida; Fabales; Polygalaceae. The record is from RNAcentral.
GAACGACUCUCGGCAACGGAUAUCUCGGCUCUCGCAUCGAUGAAGAACGUAGCGAAAUGCGAUACUUGGUGUGAAUUGCAGAAUCCCGUGAACCAUCGAGUCUUUGAACGCAAGUUGCGCCCGACGCCUUUUGGUUGAGGGCACGUCUGCUUGGGCGUCACGC